This 591-nucleotide ribosomal RNA is filed under the name Cystofilobasidium infirmominiatum. Its description in RNAcentral is "LSU rRNA". It matches the Rfam family "Eukaryotic large subunit ribosomal RNA", at positions 72 to 653 of the family's 3401-position model. Lineage: Eukaryota; Fungi; Basidiomycota; Tremellomycetes; Cystofilobasidiales; Cystofilobasidiaceae. The record is from RNAcentral.
GGAUUCCCCUAGUAACGGCGAGUGAAGCGGGAAGAGCUCAAAUUUAAAAUCUGGCAGGCUACGCUUGUCCGAAUUGUAAUCUCGAGAAGUGUUUUCCGCGUUGGCCUGUGUACAAGUCCCUUGGAACAGGGCGUCAUAGAGGGUGAGAAUCCCGUCCUUGACACAGACACCCAAUGCUUUGUGAUACACUCUCAAUGAGUCGAGUUGUUUGGGAAUGCAGCUCAAAAUGGGUGGUAAAUUCCAUCUAAAGCUAAAUACUGGCGAGAGACCGAUAGCGAACAAGUACCGUGAGGGAAAGAUGAAAAGCACUUUGGAAAGAGAGUCAAACAGUACGUGAAAUUGUUGAAAGGGAAACGAUUGAAGUCAGUCGUGCCUGCCUAGAUUCAGCCUUCUGGUGUAUUUCUAGGUCGGCAGGUCAGCAUCAGUUUGGGGGGGUUAACAAGGGAGCUGGGAAUGUGGCAACCUCGGUUGUGUUAUAGCCCAGUUUCGCAUUGAUCUCGCUGGACUGAGGAACGCAGUGCGCCCGCAAGGGUUGGUCUUCGGACACAUUCGCACUUAGGAUGCUGGCAUAAUGGCUUUAAACGACCCGUU